GAAACUGCGAAUGGCUCAUUAAAUCAGUUAUCGUUUAUUUGAUAGUACCUUACCACUUGGAUAACCGUGGUAAUUCUAGAGCUAAUACAUGCUAAAAACCUCGACUUCGGAAGGGGUGUGUUUAUUAGAUAAAAAACCAAUGCCCUUCGGGGCUCUUUGGUGAUUCAUGAUAACCUAACGGAUCGCAUGGCCUUGCGCUGGCGACGGUUCAUUCAAAUUUCUGCCCUAUCAACUUUCGAUGGUAAGGUAUUGGCUUACCAUGGUUUCAACGGGUAACGGGGAAUUAGGGUUCGAUUCCGGAGAGGGAGCCUGAGAAACGGCUACCACAUCCAAGGAAGGCAGCAGGCGCGCAAAUUACCCAAUCCCGACACGGGGAGGUAGUGACAAUAAAUACUGAUACAGGGCUCUUUUGGGUCUUGUAAUUGGAAUGAGUACAAUUUAAACCCCUUAACGAGGAACAAUUGGAGGGCAAGUCUGGUGCCAGCAGCCGCGGUAAUUCCAGCUCCAAUAGCGUAUAUUAAAGUUGUUGCAGUUAAAAAGCUCGUAGUUGAAACUUGGGUCUGGCUAGCGGGUCCGCCUCACCGCGUGCACUUGUCCGGCUGGACCUUUCCUUCUGGAGAACCUCAUGCCCUUCACUGGGUGUGUUGGGGAACCAGGACUUUUACUUUGAAAAAAUUAGAGUGUUCAAAGCAGGCCUUUGCUCGAAUACGUUAGCAUGGAAUAAUAGAAUAGGACGUGCGGUCCUAUUUUGUUGGUUUCUAGGAUCGCCGUAAUGAUUAAUAGGGAUAGUCGGGGGCAUCAGUAUUCAAUUGUCAGAGGUGAGAUUCUUGGAUUUAUUGAAGACUAACUACUGCGAAAGCAUUUGCCAAGGAUGUUUUCAUUAAUCAGUGAACGACAGUUGGGGGAUCGAAGGACGAUCAGAUACCGUCGUAAUCUCAACCGUAAACUAUGCCGACCAGGGAUCGAGGCGAUGUUUUCUAUCAUGACUCGCUCGGCACAUACGAGAAUCCAAGU
This 1014-nucleotide ribosomal RNA is filed under the name Byssosphaeria macarangae. Its description in RNAcentral is "SSU rRNA". It matches the Rfam family "Eukaryotic small subunit ribosomal RNA", at positions 83 to 1104 of the family's 1831-position model. Lineage: Eukaryota; Fungi; Ascomycota; Dothideomycetes; Pleosporales; Melanommataceae. The record is from RNAcentral.